RNAcentral lists this ribosomal RNA (460 nucleotides) under uncultured bacterium. RNAcentral describes it as "partial 16S ribosomal RNA". It matches the Rfam family "Bacterial small subunit ribosomal RNA", at positions 338 to 795 of the family's 1533-position model. The record is from RNAcentral.
CCUACGGGAGGCAGCAGUGAGGAAUAUUGGUCAAUGGACGAGAGUCUGAACCAGCCAAGUAGCGUGAAGGAUGACUGCCCUAUGGGUUGUAAACUUCUUUUAUAUGGGAAUAAAAUGUUCCACGUGUGGGAUUUUGUAUGUACCAUAUGAAUAAGGAUCGGCUAACUCCGUGCCAGCAGCCGCGGUAAUACGGAGGAUCCGAGCGUUAUCCGGAUUUAUUGGGUUUAAAGGGAGCGUAGGUGGAUUGUUAAGUCAGUUGUGAAAGUUUGCGGCUCAACCGUGAAAUUGCAGUUGAAACUGGGAGUCUUGAGUACAGUAGAGGUGGGCGGAAUUCGUGGUGUAGCGGUGAAAUGCUUAGAUAUCACGAAGAACUCCGAUUGCGAAGGCAGCUCACUGGACUGCAACUGACACUGAGGCUCGAAAGUGUGGGUAUCAAACAGGAUUAGAUACCCUUGUAGUC